This 483-nucleotide ribosomal RNA is filed under the name uncultured bacterium. Its description in RNAcentral is "partial 16S ribosomal RNA". It matches the Rfam family "Bacterial small subunit ribosomal RNA", at positions 28 to 523 of the family's 1533-position model. The record is from RNAcentral.
GACGAACGCUGGCGGCGUGCUUAACACAUGCAAGUCGAACGAUGAAGCCGGAGCUUGCUCCGGUGGAUUAGUGGCGAACGGGUGAGUAACACGUGAGCAAUCUGCCCUUGACUCUGGGAUAACUGCGGGAAACUGUGGCUAAUACCGGAUACGACACCUUGGGGCAUCCCAGGGUGUGGAAAGAAUUUCGGUCAAGGAUGAGCUCGCGGCCUAUCAGCUAGUUGGUGAGGUAAUGGCUCACCAAGGCGACGACGGGUAGCCGGCCUGAGAGGGUGACCGGUCACACUGGAACUGAGACACGGUCCAGACUCCUACGGGAGGCAGCAGUGGGGAAUAUUGCACAAUGGGCGAAAGCCUGAUGCAGCAACGCCGCGUGAGGGAUGAAGGCCUUCGGGUUGUGAACCUCUUUUAGCAGGGAAGAAGCGAAAGUGACGGUGCCUGCAGAAAAAGCACCGGCUAACUACGUGCCAGCCGCCGCCGUAA